Molecule: ribosomal RNA, 381 nt
Filed under: Triticum aestivum (bread wheat)
Lineage: Eukaryota; Viridiplantae; Streptophyta; Magnoliopsida; Poales; Poaceae
Description: partial small subunit ribosomal RNA
Source: RNAcentral
AUGACGCACAGCCUUCACCUGGUGGACAACGGCGGGGAGUUGAUGCUGGUGCACCGAGCGCUAAGCCGGGACAGUGAGUAUGACAUGAGGUAUGAUGCUUACAGAGUGGAUUUGGAAGCUGGGGUCCUGACCCAGGCCAAGGGCUUCAACGGGCGCGCCGUGUUCAUGGGCAUGUGCCGCUCAAUUUCUGUAUCGGCUGAGGCUGCUUACCCCUCUCUCGCUGCUGAUACCAUCUACCUGGGACACGAUUGUGAUGACCAGAUUCAGGGGUACAAUAUCGCGGAUGGAAGCAGAUGCAGUCUGAUUGAGGCAGUAUGUCCGCAUAGUGUUGUGGAUUGUCUCCGCCGUUGCAUCCAGGGAGUCGGCAAGCGACUUGCUUGA